AAUAUAUCCCUGCAGUCUUAGUACAAUAGACACUGCCUUUUCUAUGAAAAGGCAGUGUUUACAUCGAUACCUAGUGGGAGUUGUGGAGUAUGGUGUGUAUAUAUAUUGUAUUCUUAUCUUGUAUUGCAUUAAUGUUUAACUUAUUUGAGUCUUUCGUUGUUUUUUAAAGGGACACUGUAGGUUUACUGAAGUGGUUAUGGUGGUAUGCUACUGUGUUGCAGUCUUACAGUUAACACUAUAGUCACCAAACCACUACAUCUUAAUGUAGUGGUUCUGGUGUCUAUAGCAUAUCCCUGCAGUCUUAGUACAGUAGACACUGCCUUUUCUAUGAAAAGGCAGUGUUUAAAUCGAUACCUAGUGGGAGUUGUGGAGUAUGGUG
Non-coding RNA from Pelobates cultripes (western spadefoot toad), 379 nucleotides. The record is from the annotation of a GenBank genome assembly. NCBI's taxonomy places the organism in Eukaryota, Metazoa, Chordata, Amphibia, Anura, Pelobatidae.